AAACCAUGAUGAGGGCAGUCUCUCUCAUACUCCUUGAAUCGCUCCCAGGCUUCAUAGAAUGAUUCUAUUGGGCCUUGUUGAACACUUUGUAUCUUAUUUCUCUGCUU
Eutrema salsugineum is the source of this 107-nucleotide small nucleolar RNA. It matches the Rfam family "Plant small nucleolar RNA R71". From Rfam's summary of the family: R71 is a member of the C/D box family of snoRNAs containing the C (UGAUGA) and D (CUGA) box motifs. Multiple nearly identical copies of this snoRNA have been identified in Arabidopsis, and it is thought to function as a 2'-O-ribose methylation guide for 18S ribosomal RNA. NCBI's taxonomy places the organism in Eukaryota, Viridiplantae, Streptophyta, Magnoliopsida, Brassicales, Brassicaceae. The record is from Rfam.